This is a non-coding RNA of Equus caballus (horse), 5929 nucleotides long. The record is from RefSeq and is a predicted model, not a curated record. NCBI's taxonomy places the organism in Eukaryota, Metazoa, Chordata, Mammalia, Perissodactyla, Equidae.
AUAUGCUUAGUCUGUCACAGUGGCAGGUCUGGCACUGGGUUAAGGGAGGAAGAGACUGAGUAUUUGGUAGAAAUUUUUUGAAUAUUUUCAAUGAGUGGAACAAGAUGGGCGAUAAGGGAAGAAUUAAGAGGUAAAUCUCAGAUGGUAGGCCUUCAGGAGAAAGAGUUUGACUACGCAAUUGGCUCAAAUGGAAGAAAAAGAUCUCUGUGAGUGGCAAGAUUUAUAAGGCUACAAACACUGCCAUUCAUGUAACCGGUUGUUUGUACGUAAAUUGGUUUUCUCUUUCUCUAUCUGGAAGCUUUUGGGAUCUUCUCUUUAUCCCUCAGGUUUUGAAAUUUCACAGUGAUGGGGCUUUACAGGGGACGUGUUUUCCAUUCAUUGAGCUGGGCAAUCAGUCCAACCUUUAUUUUGGGAAAUUUUCUUCGAUUGUCACUUUGAUAAAUUUCUGCCCACUACUUUUUCUGUUCUCUAUUCUCUCUCCGGAAUUGCCAUUAUUUAGAUGUUGAGCCUCCUGUAUUUUUCCUUUCUUAUUGUACAUCUCUGCCUUUUUGUUUUACUUUCUUGGUGAUUUCCCUAAUUUUUUUCUGAGUUCUUCUGACUUCCUUUUUUCUUUUAGGGUAUUUUGGGGGUUUUCUUUGUCCUAUUCUUUCAUGUUGGAGGAUUUCCUUGACUUUUGGGUGAUUCCUGGCUGACUAUAUGCUCGGACACGGCUCAUCAACCAGUGGGUUUGACUGAAGGGAGAUGCCAGCUCUUCCACCAGUUGCUGCAAAUGUCAGGAUCUGGAGGUCUUUAUUCUGGAAUGGUUUGUUUUUCUAGGAAAAGAUCUCUAACCUUUCUGUUCCCAGUGUUUUAUAGCAGGGAGUAGAGAAGGUGGGAAAGGGAGGAAGGCUGAGGCUGUUAAUCUUCAAUAUGCCAACUUUUAGUAAUCCUCAUGUUUUGAAAUUUUGAAAACUGCUGGACAUAUGCCAAAAUUUUUACAAACUUCUGUCUUCCUUCCACUUGCUGCCUUCCUCUUCUUGACCAGGUGAUCUUGAGCCCAGAAAGCCCCUGCUUCAGUUUUCUCUCACUGAAGGUUUGAGGAAUGAGUGUGUAGAUGUGGGAUAUGACUGUCUCUUUUACAGACUUUCAAACAAUCCUUCUUUCAGUUGCUUCCCAGCAGGGCCUCUCUCUGCAUGUGCUCUUAUGUCACUGGUCGUUCCUCCUUCUGCUAUCCAUCUUUCUAUACUAUGGUUUAUUGUUUCAGAUGUCUCUUAUUAAGUGACAGCAAAGUUGGAGUCUGUGUUUCUUAUUCUUUCUGUUGCUUUGGGGUGAUUAUUUAGAAGAGAAACAUAUAGAAAUAUCCCACCAUCUUAAAAUUAGAAGUCCUUAACCUCUACUUACGGACCCAUUUACAAUAGUCUAUUUCUUACCCCCAUCCAUGGGAGAGGGAGAAAUUAGCACCCCUACAUUUCCUCUUACUUCUUCUUCCUCCUGCUCCCACUUUCAAUUUCUAUCAGCUAUAUCACCAAUUUAAAUUUUUUAAGGUUUAGAUUUAAACAUACUUUGUCUAUCGGUAGAUUCUGAAAACUGAAAACAGAACACAUCAUUCACAAUACACAAAUACAUGAACAUUAGUCACUGAAGAAUCAAGUAAUGCAAUUUGAUUCAUUGAAAAAGGAAAUACAAUUCCUCUGUCAGUACACUUCUGCAGCUUUCAGGAGAAUGUGAAGGGUCUAGUUUUCUUACACUCUGUGAGCUGCUCAAAACACUACAUUUUAGUUUGACUCAGAUUGGGACCAACACUUUCUUAUAAGCUUUAUGUGUUUCUUAGACCGUCUACAGUUGAGUUUACUGGAGGAGAAGAGGGAGCCUCUAUUCUUUUAAGGCCAGAAGAGUUUAUCCACCUUGCCUAGGAGUUGAGAUUGACUUCUCUGCUUCCCUCUGUAGUGAUCAUGACAUCUGACCCUCAUCCUGGUAUGAGCCACAUUAUGAACCCUGCUGCCCAUCAUGUCGCCCCACAGCCUCCUGCUGCUGUUAGCAUUGAUUCUUCCUUCCAUCUUCUCUCUCAGCUUGGAUUUUUAGACCCUGAAAUCUGCCUUAAUUCAUCUCUCUUGAAAACUUCUGUUGCUGCUCUUGGAUCUGGUAAUAUUUUUUGUCAGCUUUCCUCUUGAAUAAGUGAAUGUUUUCUAAGGAGUCCAAAUUCCUCUGACUUGAAUCUCAGAAUAUCAGAGCCAGAAGGAACCUCAAAGUCAGCUGGACCAAUGGUUCCAGCCUGCGGCAUUUGGAUUCUCAGAGACUUUGGAGUUAUUGCUGAUUUGAGUAAGAUUUGCUCGCUGAAUGAACAGCCAGCUCCGGAGGAAUAAAUUCAGAUCUCAUGCAUAAACUCAGAGUUCUCACAGCCCAAGAUUCGAUGGUGACCCAAGACUCCCUCACAGCUGAGGCUGCCUCAUCGAGAAAAUGAAGGACGAGAGCACUUCAGCUGCCACCAGCACAGCCCCAACACUCUGCAGUGCUGAUGACGGGCACUGGUUGAGCAACCGAAAUCAUCCAUUACAAAGGUCUCAGGACACAGCUGUGACAUGCGACUCCACAGAGACCUCAUGUUAAUCCCGGAUAUUUCUGAAUUUCAUUCCUGUUCAGAAGGAGCCUGUCUCUAAGUACUUGAGAAUAGGAAAGAAGCUUCUAUGUCAUCACUCUGGCAUCUUUCAUUUCAGUAAAAAAAAGAAAAUUGAUUUUGAGAUUUCUGUUCUAUAUGGCACUUAAUGUGAAAUAUCUAGUUCUAAAGUGAUUUAGAAAAAGAAAAAAGUGCACUGUGGUGUUAAAAUCUAUUUAUCUUCUUUUAUUCUCAAGGGCAAGAAAUGAAAAUAAUAACAGAUAACAGUAGAUUUUCAGUGUGGUGACAGAAAGAGGUUAUCAGGAAAAUCCCAGGGUGAAAAUAAAGUAGAAAAGCAAGAAUACAGUUUGAGAAAGAUGUGGAAGAAAGAUAUGAAGCUAGAAAGGAAAAUAAGAGAUUGUCAGUGACAGCCAAGAUUCUUAAAAGAUAGAAGAGUUCUUACUGAUUCAUCUGUAAGUAGAGGUAACAGAGGAAAAAAAAAACAAGAGAUGAACACCAUGAUGCUAGGAUCGGAAAUCUCAGGGGUAUGGUGUUGUCGUUAAAUUCUGCCUUUGGCUAAAAAAAAAAAAUCAGAAAAAGAGAUUUAGGGAAAUACGCAUGGGAAAUUGUGUGAAAUGAGUUGUUGAUAAAGUAAAAGAAAGUAUACAAGAAACACGGAAAUAUCUUUAAGCCGCUGCCUCUCCAACAUCCAUUCUAAGUUGUUAAGAGAAUGAGUUAAUGGAUUUAGAGAAGUUCUGAUCAUUAUAUUCGGGGGGCACUUUGGAUGCAGUAUUUCAGAAAGCUGUCAAAAUAAGUACAUCUCUUCAAGAUAUUAGAGGAAAAAACAAGAAAAAACAAGCACACAUGGACCUAAUUUUCUUCUUUUUUGCUCUCCUUCCUAAGAAAGGCCUUCCUGGAGGGUGUUGUGCUGAGUGAAAUAAGCCACAGAGGCAUAUUCAUGAUGACAGUUUAAAAAUCUUUGUCGGGUCAUUCCGACAUCUCUGUCAUCUUGGUGCUGGUAUCUGUUGAUUGUCUGUUUUCACUUAGUUUAUCUUCCUUGUUCUUGAUGUAAUGAGCAAUUAUUUUUUUACUGAAUUCUGGGCAUCUGGGGCAUUAUGUUGUGAGACUCUGGGUCUUAUUUAAGCCCUCAUUUUUUCUGGUUUCCUCUGACAUUACUUGAGCAGGGGAAGAAGAGGGGACCCGCCACCACUGCCAGGUGAGAGUAAGUUUCCACUUGCCCUUUGUUGACAUAGAGGUGGGGUUCCUCUUUACUGCUUGAUGUGGGUGGGAGUUCUGGCUCCCUACUAGGUCUCUGCUGAUACCUACCUGGCUGGGCAGCAUCCAGAUGCCUCACUACUCUCCUCACAUGGCCUCCGCUGACAUCAUGGUGGGGCUGUGCGGGGACCUCCGUGCUGCUGGGCAGUGGUGAAAGUUCUGACUGUCCAUUAGGCUUCUUUAGACACCAUCCCAGUGAGGAUGGGGAGGGCGCCUGACUGCCGCCAAAUGGAGAUGGAAGUCCAGGCUCCCAGUUGAUCUCCACUGACAGCAUGAGGAGGCCUCAUUAGCUCCAGGGGAUGAAAGUCCUGGCUCUCUACUCAGCCCUUUCUGACAACACCCUGGCAGAGAGGUUUGGGCUCCUUGUUAAAACUCCACAGAAAUGGAAGUCCAGGCUCCCCACUCAGCCUUACUGGAAUGGGUGGGAGAGGGGUCAUAGAUUUUUCUGUAGUGUUUGGCUGGAGUAGACCAGUUAUUAUCUAAAUGUUUCCUAUCUUGCGAGGUUGCUCCUUUUCCUAGAGAGAGUGGGCUUCUGUUGGGGCUUUUUCUUUCUAGAGUCAUUGGCAUUUCCAGGCUGCCAGCUCCUUCAGCUCCAAGUCUGGGAAAUAUAAGGCAAAAAAGAAGACCCAGGGAACUCACCACCAUACUGUUCCUUGGAUUCCGAGGUCCCUAGUUGGUCUGCCUUCUUCUCUCCACAUUUCAGAGUCUUCUUGUGUUUGUUUCUGUGGACUGUCCAGGGUUUUCAGUUGUCUUUAGCAGGAGGACCAGGAAAAGGUACAGCUGUUCCACUUCCCACAUAUGGAAUCUUUCCAGAUCAUUCACAUACAGAUAACAACAGUACCUGCCUCCUAGAGACCUCAAAGGGUUAUUGUGAGGAUUAAAUGAGUUAAUUGGACCUUUGGAGCAGUGGCUGGCACAUGGUAAGCCUUAUAUAAGUGUUAUCUCUUCUUGUUAUUAGAUAAACAGUAUAAUGGGGUUGUUAAGGGAACAGAGUCUGGGCCCAGACUACCAGGAUUUAAAUCCUAGCUCUUACCCUUAAUAGAUGUGUUAGUCUUUGGGAAAUUAACUGAAUCUCUCUGUGUCUAAACAUUCCCACUGUAAAUGGCAAUAAUAAUAGUUUCUUCUUCACAAAGUUAUUGUGUGAACUGAAAGAGUUAAUAUAUCUCUAAAGCUCUUAGAUGAUUGCCUUGCACAAAGUGAGCUCUAUUUAAGUAUUAGAUAUUAUUCUUUUAAGCUAAAGUACUUCAUUUUCUCCUCAAAGCACCCUCUAAAAUAAGUGGUAAAGCAUCACUAUCUCCAUGUAUAAAUGAAGAAACAGAAGAGGUUCUGAGGCAUGCAAUGACCUGCCCGAGGUCACAGAGCCAGUAUGUGGCAGAGCCAGCUUGAGCCACAGAUCCUCUGACUGCAAGUCUAGGGCUCACGGCAUCAUGUAAGCCCUGAAUUGAGGCUUGGUUAGGAGUGCAAGAUGAAAACCAGGAUUCAUGCUUAGAGAACAGGGCAAGCAGACAGCUGCCGAAAUCACACGUGGGUGGGCAAGGCAGCAUGAAGAUAGGAACAAAGUGGAAAGAAGGCCAGGCGGGAGUCUGGUUGUUGGGCUAAGUCCAUAUCAGGAAAUUGGUGUUGAAGAGACCACCAAGAUGAUUUCCAGUGAGAGAUUUCUACCCCUCCAGAAGGUGUGCCAUCAACGUCUCCUGUUCACAGGGCAGUGACGGGUUUCCUUAGAGCUCAGCACUCCCACUCCAAGGCAGCUUAUGCUCUUCAGAGAGACUCCAGCUCCAAGAAAGCAGGGGCUGUGCCUUCUUCAGUUCCGAAGCUCCUCAAGUCUGACUCGUGAAAUGGGGUCCUUCCUCAAGGGAUUCCCGCUGCCGCCCCUGCCCAGCCUGCCGUCUACAUACUUCGGAGCCUGUCCAAGUCCAGCUUGUGCCUCAGGGCUCAUACCGAGUGCCACCAAGCCUUCCUGGAGACACCAGCCCACACUGAGCUCGCCCCUUCCUAAACCCUUAGCGUUAACUAUCUCUGCCAUAUGUUUUGGAAUGUGUUUAUUUAAGCAUCAUAUAAUAUCUAGUCCUAUAUUUUUCCUGA